CACAGCCGGCACGUUUCUCACUCCUUGCAAACAACCUGUUGGAUAUCUCUCAUAGUAUAAGAUGGCGACCUCCAAAUCUAAUUCUCGGAGGAUAGUGAUUGCAAUGGACGGAAGUGAAUAUUCGGAUUAUGCUUUUGAUUAUUAUGUAGAGAAUUUACACCGAACCACAGAUGAAGUAGUAUUUAUUUACUGUGCAGAUAUAACUAUAGCUAUUCACUCACCUUUAAGGCACGAUGCUAAUCACCUAGAAAAAGUUAUAACAGAACAGCAGAAACACAUGGAUGAAAUAACAGAUGAAUUAAAUACAAAAAUACAGAAAUCUGGAGUAAAUGGUAGAAUAACCCGUCUGAUGAAUAAAGAUAUUGGACAUGCUAUAGUCAGUCAAGCUGAGAAUGAACAAGCCACAUUAAUUGUGACCGGAACACGUGGUAGGGGUCGUCUCAGAAGAACGUUUCUAGGUAGCGUCAGUGAAUAUAUUGUGAACCAUUCAUCU
Molecule: long non-coding RNA, 493 nt
Organism: Patella vulgata (common limpet)
Lineage: Eukaryota; Metazoa; Mollusca; Gastropoda; Patellidae
Exons: 4
Source: RefSeq, a predicted model, not a curated record